GAUCGUUAAUUUUUCGUUGGAUUGCGCGAGCUCAACAAUCCGGACAUCGUGGCCACCGACGCGGACCCCCCGCCACCGGGACCCACGCAGAGCGGAUUGAUCUCCCAGAGGCUUCAACAGAGCGGGUCUGGAGCUGGGAGCUGCAGGUGGAUGGUGCCCAGGAGCCGUUCAGUCCUACAGGAACAGACAGUAGAGGUGAUGGAGGUGGUCGUCUGGAGGUGCUCGCCAUGAGGUCCGUGGCGGUCGUCUGGAGGUGCUCGUCUGGAGGUGGUCGCCGUGAGGUCCGUGGCGGUCGUCUGGAGGCGCUCGCCGUGAGGUCCAUGGCGGUCGUCUGUAGGCGCUCGCUGCAGGCGGAGGGAAGGCCGGGAGCCGUGCAGCCCAACGGAUGCAGAACGAAGGACUGAGGAGGAGGGCCUGGAGGCAGAGGCCAGCCUGGAGGCAGAGGCCAGCCUGGAGGCAGAGGCCAGCCUGGAGGCAGAGGCCAGCCUGGAGGCGGCGCUGGCCUGGAGGUCCUGGAGGCGUCCAACCUGGAAGGGGCGGCAUGGAGGGCCAGGUGGCGGCUCCUCAUCCAGUUGGCCUGAGGCGGCCAACCUGGAAGGCCUGGGGACGGCAGAGGUCCUGGAGGCGACGGCGGGCCUGGAGGCCAACCUGGAGGUCCUGGAGGCGGCGGCAGCGGCCAUCCUGGAGGCGGACUACCUGGAGGUCCUGGAGGCGGAUUGUGGAGACCAUCCUGGAGGGCCCGGCGGCGGCGGCUCCUCAUCCAGUUAAGCUAAACUCUUCUCCAGUGCAUCAUGAACGGGGAGGAAUGUCCGGGGUGCAAAUAGAACGUGUGUCUCAUUUCAGAACAAAUGAGGCGACGUUGCGGAGGUCCAGGCGGUCGGCCCGGUGGAGGUCCUGGAGGAGACGGUCCCGGCGGUGGAGGACGGCUGGGGGAUCCGGCGGUGGAGGUCCGAAAGGCGCCUCGUGAUUAGACCAACCAGCUCCUCGUCCAUGGAAGGAUUGAAGGAGUCACUGGGGAUGAAGAUCACUGGUCAGGGGCUGACAACCCCCCACAUAAAUCUACAGCUGAUGUGAUUAAAGUUCUGCAGUUCAGAUCCGCUGAUGAAUGGUCCCAUACCGUAUCCACAGCGUCCCCAUGGUGCAGGCAGUCAAAACUCCAGCUCUUUGAAGAGACCAAGCAGCUUGAUGACUGACUGGUUCCUUAUACAAAGGACCUCGUCCCGGAGCAGAGGACAGACCUAAGGCCUGCAGCGCAUCCGCUAGAGACUCUGUGGAACCGGUUCAAUAAAGUUGACCUAUCCUUCAGGCGACUUAAAGGGAGACCAGAUGUGCGGCAGCUGGGUGUCAUGGUGCAGAGAAAGGAAUUAUUUUCUCCAUUUAUGUUGCACCACAUUUUGGGGGAAGAAUGUUUGAAUCAAUCUGUCAUUUAUUUCUGUACUCCAUAUCUGUAAUCCCAGCUGUUGUAUUUUAACACGGUAGCUGGGAACCCUCUUUAUAGGGAGCGACUAGAGGGACGAGGCUGGAAGCAAACCUGAGCCUGGAUCUUAACCUUCUUUCUAAACCUAAUGCCGCAAUUUAACCGCAAAGAAAGUGAGGCCUAAAGUAACUUGACUCUCUUACCUAAACUUGCUUGCCUAAACUCGCUUGUCUAAACUCGCUUGCAUAAAACCUAAACUCGCUUGCAUAAAACCUGAACUUGCUUGGCUAAACUCGCGUCGCUUGCCUAAUACCUGAACUCGCUUGCCUAAACUCGCUUGCCUAAACCCGCUUGCCUGAACUCGCUUGCCUAAUACCUAAACUCGCUUGCAUAAACCCGCUUGCCUAAUACCUAAACUCGCUUGCAUAAAACCUAAACUCGCUUGCAUAAAACCUAAACUCGCUUGCAUAAAACCUAAACUCGCUUGCUUGACUCGCUUGGCUAAUACCUGAAGUCGCUUGCCUAAACUCGCAUGCCUAAUACCUGAACUUGCUUGUCCAAACACGUUACACAAAGUUAACCAUCCAUAAUCUUUAACCCAAACCAGACUUGUCCCUGGGUCGCUCCACUUUGAUUGAGAAGUUUCUUAUUUUACCUCAUCUGCGUUUUUGUAUUUCAUUCUUUGAGGAAGUGCUUUGGAGGAUAUUUGAACUUUUGUUUGCCGCAUCAAUAAGCAUGCUUUAUCUUUACCCAUUUUGUUUUGGAUUGCAUUUCUAUGUGUCAUCCGGCCAAAUGUUCAGUGUCCUUACAUGUAAUGUCUAUGGUCUGACGAUAAUCGGACCUUUUCAUGAAGCAGAAUGUGUGUGUGAAUGUUGUCCCGUGAGCUCCAGGCUCUCUGUAGGCCUAUUCAUGUGUUCAUGAGUAUUUCAGACCUGUGGUGUUUCACAUGAGACCUUAAUGGGAACUUUUCUUUUUCUGCCUGCAUACGUAAUGCCUACAUUAGUAGGGUGAUCACUGUUGAUCCCAAUAUUGAUCAUUAACCACCUCAUUAUUUUAUAAUUUCUUCCAAUAAGGAUUACAAAUCAUGUAAUUUAUGAGCAUAUUUUCAAAUGGCUCCAAAUAUCAGAUUGUGUAAACUAAUGAAAUGUAACCUGCUUGAUUUAAAGAAAAUAAAACAUCCAAAUAUUAU
Long non-coding RNA from Gadus chalcogrammus (walleye pollock), 2606 nucleotides. RefSeq lists it as uncharacterized. The record is from RefSeq and is a predicted model, not a curated record. Lineage: Eukaryota; Metazoa; Chordata; Actinopteri; Gadiformes; Gadidae. The transcript is spliced from 7 exons.